CGGCAACAGCUCAAAUUUGAAAUCUGGCCCCUCGGGGUCCGAGUUGUAAUUUGUAGAGGAUGCUUUUGGUGAGGUGCCGCCCGAGUUCCCUGGAACGGGACGCCACAGAGGGUGAGAGC
This 119-nucleotide ribosomal RNA is filed under the name Trichoderma virens. RNAcentral describes it as "partial large subunit ribosomal RNA". Lineage: Eukaryota; Fungi; Ascomycota; Sordariomycetes; Hypocreales; Hypocreaceae. The record is from RNAcentral.